CACGUGUGUAUAUACUAGGUCACAAUUUUAAAUGUAUUCCUUACUAAGAAUCAUGGUAAAAAAAAAAAUUGAAAAUCAUUGUUCUACAGUAUUUUGCAAAGAGUAAAAAGGAAGAUUACUAAUGUCUGCCCUAAAUACAUGAGCUCUAACAGGAAUAUUGAAAGAAUUGAAGACAGCCUGCUGAAGCAAGAUGGAACUUUAAAUUCUGAGGCCCAACCCAUCAUAUCGUCUGGAGAGAAGAGGGGGAAAUGAUGUCUGAAGAACUUAAGUGACUUGAAUGUGAUAGCAGAGAUAGACACCAGGUCCCCUGAUUCUUACAGUAGCAAACUGGCCCUUUCCACUGUACACUACAGCUAUGUGGAAAAAAAAAAUUAACCUCAAUCCUUACCUUACACUGCAUACAAAAUUUAAGUGGAAAUGAAUCACAGACCUGAAAUUAAGAGCUAAAACCUCAAAACUUCUAAAAGAAAGCACAGGAAAAAAAUUUAAUUGACCUAGAUUUGGCAAAGAUUUCUUACAUAUAACACAAAAAGCACUAACUAUAAUGAAAAAAUUCAAUGAAUUAGACCUCAUCAAAAUUAGACCACAGCAAUCUGACUCAUAAUCACAUGUAAAGAUGUUCAAUGUCCACUGGUCAUUUGGGAAAUCCAAAUUAUAAAUACAAUGAAAUACUACUACACUAGACCGCUGGUAAUACCACCAGAAUGACCUAAAACCAAAAAGACUGAUCAUACCAAGUGUCAGUAAGUAUAUGGAGUAAUUCAAACUCUCAUACUCUGCUGGUGGAAAUGUAAAACUGUAUAAUCACUUGAAACAGUUUAGCAGUUUCUGGAAAAUGUAAACAUAUGCCUACUAUAUGACACAGCCAUUCCACUGCUAGCUAUUCACCAGAGGAAAGAAAGCACAUGUCCACACAAAGAUCUAUACAUGAAUGUUUACAGGCACUUAGUUUGUAAUCGCCAAAAACUUGAAGUUACCCAAAUGUCUAUCAACUGGUGCAUGGAUAAACAAAGUGUGCUAUAUCUUUAAAAUGGAAUAAUUAACAAUAAUAAAAAGGAAUAAACUAUUGAUACAUGCAACAUCA
Balaenoptera acutorostrata (minke whale) is the source of this 1084-nucleotide long non-coding RNA. RefSeq lists it as uncharacterized. The transcript has 2 exons. The record is from RefSeq and is a predicted model, not a curated record. Lineage: Eukaryota; Metazoa; Chordata; Mammalia; Artiodactyla; Balaenopteridae.